This 74-nucleotide transfer RNA is filed under the name Candidatus Falkowbacteria bacterium CG10_big_fil_rev_8_21_14_0_10_43_10. Its description in RNAcentral is "tRNA-Ala". It matches the Rfam family "tRNA". From Rfam's summary of the family: Transfer RNA (tRNA) molecules are approximately 80 nucleotides in length. Their secondary structure includes four short double-helical elements and three loops (D, anti-codon, and T loops). Further hydrogen bonds mediate the characteristic L-shaped molecular structure. tRNAs have two regions of fundamental functional importance: the anti-codon, which is responsible for specific mRNA codon recognition, and the 3' end, to which the tRNAs corresponding amino acid is attached (by aminoacyl-tRNA synthetases). tRNAs cope with the degeneracy of the genetic code in two manners: having more than one tRNA (with a specific anti-codon) for a particular amino acid; and 'wobble' base-pairing, i.e. permitting non-standard base-pairing at the 3rd anti-codon position. The record is from RNAcentral. Lineage: Bacteria; Candidatus Falkowiibacteriota.
GGAGGCGUAACUCAGAUGGUUAGAGUUCCUGCUUUGCACAUAGGAUGUCGGGAGUUCAAUUCUCCUCGCCUCCA